CGCACAUUGCGCCCUCUGGCAUUCCGGGGGGCACGCCUGUUCGAGCGUCAUUAGUCAAUCGAGCCUCGCUCGGCAUUGGGCUCCGCCGGGCGGCGGGCCCGAAAAGCAGCGGCGCUGUCGCCGGGCAAGGGACGCAUUGGAAACACUGUUCUUCUGUCCCGGGGGCCGCAGUCGGAAUUUUUACUCGAAAAAUUGACCUCGGAUCAGGCGGGAAUACCCGCUGAACUUAA
This 230-nucleotide unclassified non-coding RNA is filed under the name Trichophyton violaceum. RNAcentral's name for it is "partial contains 5.8S ribosomal RNA, internal transcribed spacer 2, and large subunit ribosomal RNA". The record is from RNAcentral. Lineage: Eukaryota; Fungi; Ascomycota; Eurotiomycetes; Onygenales; Arthrodermataceae.